CUCUCUGAUUGCAUCACGGAACCUAGGAUAAACUUGAGAUGAAAAUUAAAUGACCUGAGAUUGCUCCAAAAUUCGUACAGUAGAUUGGAUCUCGAUCCGGUCUUUAUUCGAAAUUCAUAGCAUCUGAUUAUAGUUAAUUCAUAUUGAGUCACCCAGAUAUGACCUCUGAUGAUCUCGAUCAUGAUUAUCUUAUUUGAAAGAUACAAAGAUUCUCUCUUCACUUUCUCUCUCUACUUUCUCUCUCAAAAAUUU
This 252-nucleotide long non-coding RNA is filed under the name Elaeis guineensis (African oil palm). Its description in RNAcentral is "long non-coding RNA (EGUI_LNC001782)". Lineage: Eukaryota; Viridiplantae; Streptophyta; Magnoliopsida; Arecales; Arecaceae. The record is from RNAcentral.